CCCUUAGAUGUUCUGGGCCGCACGCGCGCUACACUGACAAAGGCAACGAGCUACUCUUCACCGAAAGGUGUGGGUAAUCUUUUGAAACUUUGUCGUGCUGGGGAUAGAUCCUUGCAAUUUUUGAUCUUAAACGAGGAAUUCCUAGUAAGCGCAAGUCAUCAACUUGCGUUGAUUACGUCCCUGCCCUUUGUACACACCGCCCGUCGCUACUACCGAUUGAAUGGUUUAGUGAGGCCUUCGGAUCCGCGACUCGUUUGUGGAGAAGUUGGACAAACUCAGUCAUUUAGAGGAAGUAAANGUCGUNACA
This 307-nucleotide ribosomal RNA is filed under the name uncultured eukaryote. RNAcentral describes it as "partial 18S ribosomal RNA". It matches the Rfam family "Eukaryotic small subunit ribosomal RNA", at positions 1470 to 1796 of the family's 1831-position model. The record is from RNAcentral.